Molecule: small RNA, 844 nt
Filed under: Homo sapiens (human)
Lineage: Eukaryota; Metazoa; Chordata; Mammalia; Primates; Hominidae
Description: pyk-reg 90
Source: RNAcentral
CAACCAAUUGCCAAUCAGAAUAUGUUUAAAUCUACCAAUGACCUGGAAGUUUCCCACUUCGAGUUGUCUUGUCCUUCCAGAUCAAACCAAUGUAAAUCUUACAUGUAUUGAUUGAUGUAUUUUGUCUCCCUAAAAUGUAUAAAACCAUGCUGUGCCCAGGCCACUUGGGCACAUGUUGUCAGGACCUCCUGAGGCUGUGUCAUGGGUGUGUCCUUAACCUUAGCAAAAUAAAUUUUCUAAGUUGACUGAGACCUGUCUCAGGUAUUUCGGGUUGACAGUUUGGCAACCACGAAAGGAUUCUGAGUGGAGGUGCCCCUGACCUUUGACAGAUCUCCUAUCGGUGCUUGGUACCAGCUUGAGCUAUCUUUAUGGCUCAAAUCUACAGGACAAUUUGCUAAGGCCUGGGAGCCCCCCUCCACAAAAUUCCUGAUCUUCCCAAAUUUGGUUAACAUCUAAAGUUUAUUUUACUGUACAACUCCUUUUUCUGGAGUUUUACUUGUUUCCAACAAGGAAGGCAGGUUUUCCUGCUUCCCUGACGAUGGAAGGCAGGUAACUCCUUUCUGGAGUUUGAGCUCGCUCCAACAGAGAAGGAAAGUUUGAGUUUUCCCUACUUCUGGGAUGGUAGAGAGCAGUCUUUAGCCUAAGACCUGUUCUUAGGUAAGUAGCCGAAUUGGGGAUUUUCUUGGCUGAAGUUAAGGUUAACAACCAGCUGGUCUUAAUUUUCCUUACCAUUAGAGUGCUCAGUAAUCAUAUAAAUUGUACGAUCAAGCCCGGCAUGGUGGCUCACACCUGUAAUCCCAACACUUUGGGAAGCCAAGGCGGGUGGAUCACGAGGUCAGGACAU